AGCAGCCGCGGUAAUUCCAGCUCCAAUAGCGUAUAUUAAAGUUGUUGCAGUUAAAAAGCUCGUAGUUGAAUUUCGGGAUUCUACCGUUGGUCGGGCUAACAAGUCUGUACUGGUGUGUAGAAUUUCUACCUUCUGGGGAACUAUCAUGUUAUUAAUUUAGCGUGGUGGGAAACCAGGACCUUUACCUUGAAAAAAUUAGAGUGUUCAAAGCAGGCUUACGUCUGAAUACAUUAGCAUGGAAUAAUAGAAUAGGACGGUGGUCCUGUUUUGUUGGUUUCUGAAUCACCGUAAUGAUUAAUAGGGAUAGUUGGGGGCAUUAGUAUUCAAUUGUCAGAGGUGAAAUUCUUGGAUUUAUUGAAGACUAACUUCUGCGAAAGCAUUUGCCAAGGAUGUUUUCAUUAAUCAAGAACGAAAGUUAGGGGAUCGAAGACGAUCAGAUACCGUCGUAGUCUUAACCAUAAACUAUGCCGACUAGGGACCGGACGAUGUUAAAUUAUUGACUCG
This 504-nucleotide ribosomal RNA is filed under the name uncultured Scutellospora. Its description in RNAcentral is "SSU rRNA". It matches the Rfam family "Eukaryotic small subunit ribosomal RNA", at positions 569 to 1078 of the family's 1831-position model. The record is from RNAcentral. Lineage: Eukaryota; Fungi; Glomeromycota; Glomeromycetes; Diversisporales; Gigasporaceae.